Molecule: long non-coding RNA, 1543 nt
Organism: Mercenaria mercenaria
Lineage: Eukaryota; Metazoa; Mollusca; Bivalvia; Venerida; Veneridae
Exons: 4
Source: RefSeq, a predicted model, not a curated record
CUAUGAGCUAAAACGUUUAGUUUUUAAUAUGACGCACAGGAAAUAUUGUUGAACUAUACAGUCCUAUAUGCGGAUGGGAAAUAAAUGCAUGUUUACCUAAUACAGUUUUCAGUUAGAUAACUGUAGAAUAUUCGGGAUCACCCCUCUAACAUAAUAAGAUGAAUCAAGGAAGGCAAAUUAAGCUGACAGCUAUGACAAUGUAGUGAAGUAAGGGAGGAAGGGGGAACUACACGUCAAACGACGUGUGACUCCUUUUGAAAGGGCAAUGAAACAUCGUCGGCUUAGAUAUAUCCGCCCAUCAGGCAGGCUAGAUGAUUCUCCUGGCUGUUCAAAUGGUGAUCGUGCUAUCUACUAGAUACGGCAUUAACCAAAAGCUGUGAUUGAUCUAAAAGGAGCAUCGUAAGAUUUCUACAAAUAUAUCGACAACAAAAGUAAUCGUUAUCACAUUGAAGAUUUGUGCCAUUGCUUAGCAGAUCCAUGCAGGGGAACGAAAUCGCUUGUUCUGUAUGUGUCACGAAUCACAUUACCGUAAAACAAACGAUAAAACACACGUAUGUGUUACAGCCUAGUGACAGUGUUAAACAUUUGAUGAUACAUGUUGACGAAAUAAUCGGAAAACAUGUUCACAAGAAAAUACCUUUCUUGAUCCAUGUUGACGAAAUAAUCGGAAAACAUGUUCACAAGAAAAUACAUUUCUUGAUCCAUGUUGACAAAAUAAUCGGAAAACAUGUUCACAAGAAAAGACAAACGUGAACGGCAGAAACGACUACAUCAAUUCAAGUCAACGUGUUGCAGGUGUUCUAUGCAGGUAUUACCUAAGCGUACCCAGUUUGUGGCCGCAAUUUCAUGGAAAAUAGGUGUCGGGAUCAUUGCAGAUGUGUGCAUUCACAUGCAGAACGACUUGGAUACAAGAAUGGUAUGCGAUAAGCAGUUCUUGCAUAAAGGACCUUUUACUCUGUAAGAAAAUAAACCGCUGACGGAGAAAAGUGAACUUUAAUAAAAAGUGGAUUACUUUAUAAUAUUAUAGUUUACACGUUUUUCUGUAGACUGCAUAAAGGCGAUAGGAAAUCCCUUGAUUUUACAGUUUGUUAUCCGUUCAUUACUUUUUAUUUCCUCACAUUUGAGUAGAAUUGUUAGUCUAGCUCACUUCUCUUAUGAAAUAAUUGCACCUACCAAGAAAACAUAUUUUGUGGUUUUGUGCCAUAUAAAUAAUUAUAAUUUUACAAUAUAAAUCUUUAGAAAAAUGUAAUAUCUUUGUAAUUUGAUAUAAUUUGGACAAUGAAUUUAUGUGCAUCAGCCCAGAUCUUACGUCAUUUUUUAUUUAAUAAGCCUAAAGAUGAUUCCACGUUUAGCAUCACCCAAGGUCAGGGUCAGUAUGAUAUUUUCAGUAUUAUUUCAUACACGAAUCUUUAAAUGGCCGACUAAUAUUCCAUGCAAGUAUCCGUCCUUGUAUAUCAUUCAGUACGCCGAAAACUUUCACUUUCUAUGCUCAAGAUUAAUUAUAAGUAGUCAAAUUUGUGAAAGUCUUUUUCUUGUUAAGCAU